UACGUAGGGUGCGAGCGUUGUCCGGAAUUAUUGGGCGUAAAGAGCUUGUAGGCGGUUUGUCGCGUCUGCCGUGAAAAUUCGAGGCUCAACCUCGAACUUGCGGUGGGUACGGGCAGACUAGAGUGUGGUAGGGGAGACUGGAAUUCCUGGUGUAGCGGUGAAAUGCGCAGAUAUCAGGAGGAACACCGAUGGCGAAGGCAGGUCUCUGGGCCACUACUGACGCUGAGAAGCGAAAGCGUGGGGAGCGAACAGG
This 253-nucleotide ribosomal RNA is filed under the name uncultured bacterium. RNAcentral describes it as "partial 16S ribosomal RNA". It matches the Rfam family "Bacterial small subunit ribosomal RNA", at positions 524 to 776 of the family's 1533-position model. The record is from RNAcentral.